CUCAGGUCAAUCCAUUUCUUUGGUAUUACGAACUGAUGCUGGAGUUUUAUAUUAUUUGACUUUGUUGUGUCAAAGGGCUUGAGGUGUCUCAUAGUUGGGAAGAUCGAAAAGAAAGAAGAUCCGAUGCGGAGAACUCUAAGGAUGAAAGACGAAGAUUAAGUAUUGGAGCUUUAAAGAAAAAGGCACUGAGUGCUUCUUCUAAGUUCACACAUUCUCUCAAGAAGCGAGGGAAGAGGAGAGAUGUUAAUAGGACUUCUUCUGUUUCAAUCGAGAAUGAUAGGGAUUUGGAAGAGGAGCACGAAGUAUACACAUUCCGCAAGGGGCUAAUUUCUAGGGACUUAUUGCCUGAUAAACAUGACGACUAUCACAUGCUGCUCAGGUUUCUGAAAGCUAGAAAAUUUGAUCGUGAGAAAGCAACUCUUAUGUAGGCAGAUAUGCUUUAGUGGAGACAGGAAUUUGGAGCAGAUACAAUUUUGGAUAUAUACAAUGGUAGGUGUUUUGUCCUAGUCUCAAGCCGACAAUUCUUUUUUAUCAGUAUAUCUAAUAGAAGUAAGCAUGCAGAUCGUUGUCUUCGAGGCCGACUAGCUAUUUUGUGCUUUUUUUGUUUUAAAUUCGAAUGUUACUAUCUACUUUGAAACAGAACUAUUUAGUCUUUGUGUAUAGUUGAA
Zingiber officinale is the source of this 668-nucleotide long non-coding RNA. RefSeq lists it as uncharacterized. The record is from RefSeq and is a predicted model, not a curated record. The transcript is spliced from 3 exons. Lineage: Eukaryota; Viridiplantae; Streptophyta; Magnoliopsida; Zingiberales; Zingiberaceae.